Molecule: ribosomal RNA, 484 nt
Filed under: uncultured bacterium
Lineage: Bacteria
Description: partial 16S ribosomal RNA
Rfam family: Bacterial small subunit ribosomal RNA
Source: RNAcentral
AUUGAACGCUGGCGGCAGGCCUAACACAUGCAAGUCGAGCGGAUGAAGGGAGCUUGCUCCUGGAUUCAGCGGCGGACGGGUGAGUAAUGCCUAGGAAUCUGCCUGGUAGUGGGGGAUAACGUCCGGAAACGGGCGCUAAUACCGCAUACGUCCUGAGGGAGAAAGUGGGGGAUCUUCGGACCUCACGCUAUCAGAUGAGCCUAGGUCGGAUUAGCUAGUUGGUGGGGUAAAGGCCUACCAAGGCGACGAUCCGUAACUGGUCUGAGAGGAUGAUCAGUCACACUGGAACUGAGACACGGUCCAGACUCCUACGGGAGGCAGCAGUGGGGAAUAUUGGACAAUGGGCGAAAGCCUGAUCCAGCCACGCCGCGUGUGUGAAGAAGGUCUUCGGAUUGUAAAGCACUGUAAGUUGGGAGGAAGGGCAGUGAGUUAAUACCUUGCUGUUUUGACGUUACCAACAGAAUAAGCACCGGCUAACUUCGUG